RNAcentral lists this non-coding RNA (104 nucleotides) under Desulfosporosinus sp. RNAcentral describes it as "c-di-GMP sequence". It matches the Rfam family "c-di-GMP-I riboswitch aptamer". From Rfam's summary of the family: GEMM was predicted in a large-scale screen for bacterial structured RNA regulatory elements. Genes associated with GEMM are involved in a diverse array of functions, including chemotaxis regulation, signal transduction, secretion and chitin. RNAcentral also lists the same sequence under 1 other name. Lineage: Bacteria; Bacillati; Bacillota; Clostridia; Eubacteriales; Desulfitobacteriaceae. The record is from RNAcentral.
AUCAGGUUGGGGUAAACUUCGACGAAAGUGAAGGACGCUAAAGUCAUGGGUCUAAGGCUAAUUUCAGACGCCUGAAAUUACGCUAGGAUCGCCAGAUUACAAGC